CCGUUGCUUAAUAAGGCACUCUUCCCCAAUAUUCUGUCAGCAUUCUAAAAGAAGAAACAAGCAGACACAUAACAAGUUUAGCAUGUACUAGUAUAUGAAACUCAUUUCGGUGAACCAGUUCAUUAGUAAGGUGGACAAUAUUAAACUACCAAGUCUUCUAUUGCCAAGUACUAGUACAUAAUAAAAGCAUCAAACAAACAUAUAUCUAUGUCCUAUGGUAGCAAUGGAAUCUUAAAUUAGAAUAGUUGUUCUUCAGGUUUAGGCACUUGUUCUAC
Molecule: ribosomal RNA, 275 nt
Filed under: Triticum aestivum (bread wheat)
Lineage: Eukaryota; Viridiplantae; Streptophyta; Magnoliopsida; Poales; Poaceae
Description: partial small subunit ribosomal RNA
Source: RNAcentral